CUUCGGGGAACGAUAACGGCGUCGAGCGGCGGACGGGUGAGUAAUGCCUAGGAAAUUGCCCUGAUGUGGGGGAUAACCAUUGGAAACGAUGGCUAAUACCGCAUAAUGCCUACGGGCCAAAGAGGGGGACCUUCGGGCCUCUCGCGUCAGGAUAUGCCUAGGUGGGAUUAGCUAGUUGGUGAGGUAAUGGCUCACCAAGGCGACGAUCCCUAGCUGGUCUGAGAGGAUGAUCAGCCACACUGGAACUGAGACACGGUCCAGACUCCUACGGGAGGCAGCAGUGGGGAAUAUUGCACAAUGGGCGCAAGCCUGAUGCAGCCAUGCCGCGUGUGUGAAGAAGGCCUUCGGGUUGUAAAGCACUUUCAGUCGUGAGGAAGGUGGUAGUGUUAAUAGCACUAUCAUUUGACGUUAGCGACAGAAGAAGCACCGGCUAACUCCGUGCCAGCAGCCGCGGUAAUACGGAGGGUGCGAGCGUUAAUCGGAAUUACUGGGCGUAAAGCGCAUGCAGGUGGUUUGUUAAGUCAGAUGUGAAAGCCCGGGGCUCAACCUCGGAAUAGCAUUUGAAACUGGCAGACUAGAGUACUGUAGAGGGGGGUAGAAUUUCAGGUGUAGCGGUGAAAUGCGUAGAGAUCUGAAGGAAUACCGGUGGCGAAGGCGGCCCCCUGGACAGAUACUGACACUCAGAUGCGAAAGCGUGGGGAGCAAACAGGAUUAGAUACCCUGGUAGUCCACGCCGUAAACGAUGUCUACUUGGAGGUUGUGGCCUUGAGCCGUGGCUUUCGGAGCUAACGCGUUAAGUAGACCGCCUGGGGAGUACGGUCGCAAGAUUAAAACUCAAAUGAAUUGACGGGGGCCCGCACAAGCGGUGGAGCAUGUGGUUUAAUUCGAUGCAACGCGAAGAACCUUACCUACUCUUGACAUCCAGAGAACUUUCCAGAGAUGGAUUGGUGCCUUCGGGAACUCUGAGACAGGUGCUGCAUGGCUGUCGUCAGCUCGUGUUGUGAAAUGUUGGGUUAAGUCCCGCAACGAGCGCAACCCUUAUCCUUGUUUGCCAGCGAGUAAUGUCGGGAACUCCAGGGAGACUGCCGGUGAUAAACCGGAGGAAGGUGGGGACGACGUCAAGUCAUCAUGGCCCUUACGAGUAGGGCUACACACGUGCUACAAUGGCGCAUACAGAGGGCAGCAAGCUAGCGAUAGUGAGCGAAUCCCAAAAAGUGCGUCGUAGUCCGGAUUGGAGUCUGCAACUCGACUCCAUGAAGUCGGAAUCGCUAGUAAUCGUGGAUCAGAAUGCCACGGUGAAUACGUUCCCGGGCCUUGUACACACCGCCCGUCACACCAUGGGAGUGGG
This 1348-nucleotide ribosomal RNA is filed under the name Vibrio owensii. RNAcentral describes it as "bacterial SSU rRNA". It matches the Rfam family "Bacterial small subunit ribosomal RNA", at positions 78 to 1414 of the family's 1533-position model. Lineage: Bacteria; Pseudomonadati; Pseudomonadota; Gammaproteobacteria; Vibrionales; Vibrionaceae. The record is from RNAcentral.